UGAUAAUAGGCUAUAUAUCUUCAUGAAUGAAUGUAUGAAAUACACGCAGGGAAAUCAGUUCCAUCAUCUAAGAGCCUUUGAUCUUGGGCCUUUGUUAGUUCAUUGCCACGGAUUUUGAGUGAUUUGGGAAGGAUGCCCUGUGAGACUCGCCCGAAUUUGGUGUAAACCUCAAAGGACCACCUUGCGGAGAGCGAUAAGACGGUAUCAGUGAGCCAGCGACCCCGGGUUCAUCCAUCAGACAGGGAUGAGAGCCAUUGGGUGUAGCUAGUGCUUUUCGGCAGACACUACCACCAUGACGAGCUUUCCCACACAUUUCCUCAACCCAAUAUAAAUCUGCUCUAUUUACUCGCAUUAUUUCCAGGUGAUAAUAAUAUAAACACCCAGCCCGACAACAUUAAAUUGACCUUUUCAAGAUGCAGAGCAGACUAUAACCAUCUCAUGAUGGGCUCAAAUUGACCCUUCACACUUGAGGAAAGGGGUUGUUCUGUUCCACGCCUGUUGUUUCUAGACUCGUGAUCCGAUGAUGAUCUUCAUUACCUGUCACGAUUCUCAGUGCUCAAGGACGAACUAGUCGUGAACGCGCGGCUGAUGUCACGACCAGCUUCCUGCAAGCCUCCCUGGUGAACGGAAACAGUCGCCAAGUCAGAAGCAAAAACUGUCUGCUCCCGAAUGAUUCCAAACGUUUGGAGUUUCCUCAGUGGCAGGCCAGAGAGAGAAAAAGGACAGAGGAAUGCAGGACCGAGAGGCCAGUCAGGAGAGGACAGCUGGAUGUGUUUAAGCAUGGAACUGCAGAAAUUUGAGGAAAAGUCCACUGCAGCCAAGAGGUACAUGUCAGGCCACGCCCUCGUCAUCUGCUCCAGCUCUGUUGCUGUUCUGUGCUGGUGUGGUCAGCUGACUUGGCCGUGGCCGGGAUUUGAAUGACCCACAUUUCUCAAACGAGCAGGGAAAAGGCAUGUCAUGUUGAAUAGGCUGGGACCAAAGACAGGCCCUGCGAGAAGAGACAUCAGUCUGUGCGCUGAAACUGAGCCCUGCAUACCACACAUGCUUUAGGGGCACAAUAGCCCUCUUUACAACAUGCAGUAAAAAUUGCCUGGAAGAAUUGC
Molecule: long non-coding RNA, 1103 nt
Organism: Rhinichthys klamathensis goyatoka
Lineage: Eukaryota; Metazoa; Chordata; Actinopteri; Cypriniformes; Leuciscidae
Exons: 6
Source: RefSeq, a predicted model, not a curated record